Long non-coding RNA from Cephus cinctus (wheat stem sawfly), 774 nucleotides. RefSeq lists it as uncharacterized. The record is from RefSeq and is a predicted model, not a curated record. The transcript is spliced from 2 exons. NCBI's taxonomy places the organism in Eukaryota, Metazoa, Arthropoda, Insecta, Hymenoptera, Cephidae.
ACAGAAGAAGAGACGUUAAGGAUUGCUUGAAUGCUGAGAACAAUAUCUAUGUGACAACUAUUCGACGAUCAAUAACUGGCACGACUUUACGAAAAGUUCACGUUUGUAUAUUGUUAAGACUCUCACUUUCUGCGGAUUGAUUUUCUCUGGAAUUUUCUAGAUUUUCGUACACGCGCUUGGGGAAGUUGUGUCUAUAUAGUAUUUUCAAAGAAUGAAAUACUAGUUCGAGCAGUUAUUCUUAGAUGGGGGUAUUCCUCGAAUCGUAUUUAAUUCCUAACCUUACUAUUUGUAUUGCUAUUUGCCAUCAAGAAUUACAGGCUAGUAGAAGUGAUUUCUGAUUAUAUAUUUGGAAAGAUAUUUUUCACAGAGAGGAAAGAUAUUUUUCAUACGUCGGAGGUGAACUUUUCCUGAUCAAUCUAGAACAAACAUUAAACUAGUAGUAGAUUAGAUUUGAUAUCAUACUUGCGAAUAGAAAGUAAUUUGCAAACAUGUCAGGAACCUCUCCAAAGCAAACAUUAUUUAAAACAUUUUUGCCUGCGUUUGUCAUGGUUCCAGUUUUAAUGGCAUUCCAUUUAGCCUGGUAUAAAAUGCAAUACAAUGAUGCAUUAAUUUCUCCGGAGGAGAGAAAUAGAAUAAAAGCAUUUAAGUUUCUUGACAAGUACAAAUUUUUAAUAGGUGAGGAUAGCACAACAGACGUUGAGAAAACUGAAUAAAUAUUGGUUAUUAUUUGAGUGAUGUAAAAUUUUAUUUGUAAUAAAUAGUUGUAAAAGUAAA